This 7560-nucleotide long non-coding RNA is filed under the name Lactuca sativa (garden lettuce). RNAcentral's name for it is "long non-coding RNA (LSAT_LNC000420)". Lineage: Eukaryota; Viridiplantae; Streptophyta; Magnoliopsida; Asterales; Asteraceae. The record is from RNAcentral.
CCAAAAUCUCGGCCAGAAAAGACCGAUUUUCAUUUAUGCUUUUAAAAUAUUUUCAGAGUAAAUCUUUUUGAUUUGAAAGAGUUGCGGAAUUUGUUCCCAAAAACAAAACAUGAUAAAACAAUGUUUACCAAAGCAUUUCAUAAAAGAAAUGUAUUUUUCAUUAUAUAAUCAAAACUCGGGGUGUCAUGUUCCGAUACAGACCAAUAAGCAUAAACGAAUACAUUACAAGUCAUAUAACAAAUAUAAACAUAUGCGGACUUGUAAACAAAACAACUUGAUGGUUCAUCCAUCUCAUGCCCUUCCGCCACUACCUGUAAUACAAUUUAAAACUGAGUGGGUCAGGCUUGGGAGCCUGGUGAGCAUAUAGGGUUUUCAACCCACAAUAAAUAUCAUAUUUAAUUUUCACCAACCAACAAUAACCCAAUUACCCAUUCCCGUUAUUCUCACUUUAAUGUCCCUAAAACAACUAACAUAAGGGACCUAGUCUAAGAAUAUUUCAUCGGGGCGACAACACAUGCUUCGGGGGUACCUCAGCAAUAUAAGUCAAAUAAGGCAACCAUGAGGGGGAUGGAGUACAGCGAAUGAACACCCAAGUUCAUUAACACCUACAGGUGGCGAACCUGCUAAUGUUUCCACAAGACUGUCUAGAAUAGCCAGUGGUCGUCAUCUAAACUCCGCUAGAUGACUCAAUCAAACAACAACGAGGCCUCUCAUCUGUUUAUUACACACCAACUGUCUACCCAUGUUCUACCCAACAUAUUAGUAGAUAAAAAUAUACAUUUGUAUACAUAGUUUAAAGAAAACCUGUAUAGCAUGCUUUAAUCAACACAUAUAUCACAUAACAGAUGAGGCACACACACACAUAACACAUAUCUCAUAAAGAAAUAAGCAGAUCUAUAAGAUAGAAGAGAGUGAAUACUCAUUCACACAUAACACAACCAAAUAUAUACACAUAGCACGUAUUUUUAUAUAAAAUACUUCGUAUUAUUGUAUUAGAAGAAAUAACUACACACUCACUUGAUCAGAAGAUGAUCGGACAGCACUACGGCUUAUAGAAGUAGUAAUCCACAGCAGAUCUGGAAGAUCUUCUCGAAAAUCGAACUUCUCGCGGGCAGAGCUUCGACUCGGGAACCGCACUUUUCGGGAUCUUCGGGAUCUCGGGACUUGCCUCGGGGCUAGAGUAUGAUACCGGGACUUCGGGGUAGCUUCGGGGGUUUUUGCACAGAGCUUCGACACGAAAACGAGAGGGAAUUGGCAAAAAUACCCGGAACCCUCGCAUCCUAUUUAUAGGAGGCUGGAGCCUCGGAGUACGCGGGGCGUACUGCGUUACGCGGGGCGUACUGCCCAAAACGUCAUUGCUUACGUAUCCGAAGUGCUCGAGUGCGAGUGUCGACAUCCCUCGGAGUACGCGGGGCGUACUCGAGUACGCGGGGCGUACCUCGGAUCAGAUCGGUGACUCCUUCGGAUAAUGCUUCCGAAUUUUGAUUUAAAUAUAAAUACAAAAUGAUUAAUAAACUUCGGAAAUUCAUAACUUCUUCAUACGAACUCCGUUUUCGACGUUCUUUAUAUCCACGCGAAGGUGAGACCACGCUCUACGACUUUCGUUUAGACUCCGUCGGCUAAUUUUGACUUUAUUUUUAUUAAUUAUUUUUAAUAGGCCGGGACAGAAACUUUCGUUAUAAAUUCAUAACUUCUUCGUUUGACGUCCGUUCUCGCCUAACUUUUUAUCGUUUCAAUACCAACAAUGAGAUCUUCGAUUCUCAUUUAGAUUGCUUCGGCUAACAACCGCUCGAUCUCAAAUCGAGUAAAACAGGCUGUAUAUCGCUAAGCCGGAACUUCGAUAAAUCAUAACUUCCUCAUACGAAGUCAGAUUUGGGCGUUCUAUAUAUAUUCGGAAACCUCGUUUCAACUACUACAACAUUAACCAAAUAUAUUAAGUUUAUUUUACACUUAAAUUUUGACGCUUAUUUUUAUUCUUAAUUAAUCAAACCACAUAAUUAAGCAAUUAAGCACAAAACACACAAUACUCAAAUAAUACAAUCUUAUUAUUUCAAAACGGGUUACAGAGGUUAACCUAGACUAUUACAUUGCUACAAAUGGCAAGCCCGAAACACAGGCGUUACAAUUCUCUCCACCUUAGAAUGAUUCCGUCCCCGGAAUCACACAUCAACAAACAAAUGCGGAUAGCGACUCAACAUGUCACUCUCCGUCUCCCAGGUGAGAUUCGGCCCAUUCGUGUGUUUCCAUCGGACAAGCACUAACCCAACCAUUUUGCGUCGCAACUUCUUAGUCUUUCGGUCAACAAUUGCCUCUGGUUCUUCAAUCAACCUUUUGUUCUCAUCAAUUCUCAAUUCAGAAAUUGGAAUUAUAUCGGGAACUUCUCCCGUGAACUUCCUCAAAUAACACACAUGAAAGGUGUUGUGAAUUCCAUUCAGUUCUUCGGGUAAUUCGAGCUUGUAAGCUUGAUUCCCAAUCCUCUGAAGGACUCUAAACGGUCCAAUAAACCUUGGACUCAACUUUCCCCUUUUACCAAAUCUUAUAAGUCCCUUCCACGGCGAGACUUUAAGCAAAACCGAAUCUCCAACCUCAAAAGUCAUCGGUCUUCGCUUCUUGUCAGCAUAGCUCUUUUGACGAUCUUGAGCUGCUAACAUUCUUUCCCUAAUUAUUUUCAACUUUUCAGCAGUUUGAUGAACCAACUCCGGUCCCAUAAACUGCUUUUCCCCAGCCUCAAGCCAACAAGACGGCGUACGACACUUCUGUCCAUACAAAGCUUGAUAAGGUGCCAUCUUAAUGCUCGAGUGAAAACUAUUAUUAUAGGAAAAUUCUACCAACGGUAAAUGUUCAUCCCAAUUACCUAGGAAUUCCAAGGUACAUGCUCUCAGCAUAUCUUCAAGUGUUUGUAUUGUUCUUUCACUCUGACCAUCAGUCUGCGGAUGGUAAGCUGUGCUUAAACAUAACUUGGUACCCAUUUCCUCUUGUAGACUUUUCCAAAACCUUGAGGUGAAACGGCUAUCACGAUCCGAUACAAUCGUUAACGGAACACCGUGAAGCCUCACAAUUUCCUUCACGUAAGAAUUCGCAAGCUUUUCCAUAGACCAUUUCUCCCUGGCCGCUAUGAAAUGCGCACUCUUAGUGAAUCGAUCAACGACCACCCAAAUCAUGUCGUGACCAUUCUUUGUUCUGGGCAGUUUAGUGACAAAAUCCAUAGCAAUGUCUUCCCACUUACCCAUAGGCACAGGCAAAGGUUCUAAACUCCCGUACGGUUUCUGAUGUUGUGUCUUGACUCUCGCACAAGUCACACACUCGGCCACAUACUUUGCAACAUCAAGCUUCAUCGUCGGCCACCAGUAGUAGGGUUUCAGGUCCCUAUACAUUUUAGUGCUACCCGGAUGAAUCGAGUACAUGGUCUUGUGAGCUUCUUCCAUCAGAAGAUCUCUAAUUCCUCCUGACUUAGGUACCCAAAUACGAUCUUGGAAUACCUUCAGUCCAUGACCGUUAGUACCAAACACCAACGUUUUACCCAAACGUUCCUCCUUUCGGUCAUUUUUCUCAGAAGCUUCCUCUUGAGCUUUCUUUAUACUUUCCACAAUGGUCGAGACAACUUCAAUUCUCAACGCUCUUGGCCUCUUCCUUUCAAGAUUGACCUUCCGACUGAGAGCAUCAGCAACAACAUUAGCUUUACCGGGGUGGUAAAGUAUCUCGCAGUCGUAGUCUUUAAGUAAUUCUAGCCAGCGUCGUUGCCUCAUAUUCAAUUCUUUCUGAUUAAAGAGGUAUUGGAGACUCUUAUGAUCAGUGAAAAGUUUGCACUUCGUGCCAUAGAGGUAAUGCCUCCAUAUUUUCAGAGCGAAAACUACCGCUGCCAACUCCAAAUCAUGAGUCGGGUAAUUCUUUUCAUGCUCUUUCAGCUGUCGAGACGCAUAUGCUAUCACCUUUUCUCUUUGGGUCAAAACACAACCCAAUCCAACACCAGACGCAUCGCUAUAAACAGCGAAGUCUUCAACUCCAUCGGGUAGAGAAAGUAUCGGUGCCUCGCAUAGCUUCUUCUUUAACUUCUCGAAUGCUUCUUUAUGCUUCUCACUCCAAGCAUAAGUAGCUCCUUUGUGGGUCAAAGCUGUUAAUGGAGUAGCAAUCGAAGAAAAGCCUUGGAUAAACCUUCGGUAAUAUCCGGCUAAUCCUAAAAAGCUUCGAAUCUCCGUGGGACUUUUCGGUUGUUCCCACUUCGUCACAGCUUCGAUCUUCGCUGGAUCAACCAUUAUCCCUUCUUGGUUGACCACGUGACCCAAGAAUUGGACUUCACGAAUCCAAAAAUCACAUUUGGAGAACUUCGCAUAAAGCUUCUCCUUCUUCAAAACUUCUAACACUUCUCGCAAGUGUCUGCCAUGCUCCUCCUGGCUUUUCGAGUAGAUCAGAAUGUCGUCUAUGAACACUAUCACGGAUUUAUCAAGGAAAGGAUUACAAACCCUAUUCAUCAAAUCCAUGAACGCUGCUGGAGCAUUGGUUAGUCCAAACGACAUAACCAAGAACUCGUAGUGUCCAUAUCUAGUUCUGAAUGCAGUCUUCUCGAUAUCUUGCUCUCUUACUUUCAGCUGAUGAUAUCCUGACCUAAGAUCGAUCUUCGAGAAAUAGCUCGAACCUUGCAAUUGAUCAAACAGGUCAUCAAUCCUCGGCAACGGAUAUCUAUUCUUUAUUGUUGCCUUGUUCAGCUCUCUGUAAUCGAUGCACAUUCUCAUACUUCCAUCUUUCUUCUUUACAAAUAACACCGGAGCUCCCCAGGGCGAUGAACUAGGUCUAAUGAAACCUUUGUCCAAUAACUCCUGAAGUUGCAUCAUUAGCUCCUUCAUCUCCGUCGGUGCUAAUCGAUAAGGUGCUUUUGCUAUUGGCGUGGUUCCUGGUAACAAGUCUAUUCUGAACUCCACUUGUCUAUCAGGUGGUAAUCCAGGAAGAUCCUCGGGAAAUACUUCCGGAUAAUCACACACCACUGGAAUGCUCUGCAUCACCUUCUUUUCUUUCUUAGCAUCAAUCACGAAUGCUAAAUAUGAUGUACAUCCCUUGGUCAAACACUUUCUGGCUUUCAUUAGAGAAAUGAUUCCAGAAUUCACUCUGCGUUUGUCCCCAUACACCAUAAACGAAUCUUUUCCAGGCGGGUUUACUUUAACUAUCUUCUUCUUGCACAAAAUUUCGGCAUCAUUGGCGCUAAGCCAAUCCAUUCCCAAGACGAUGUCGAAACCAUUUAGUUCGAUAGGCAAUAAUUCCUCGAGAAACUUAUUCCCAUUAAGGUCGAUCAAGACGUUUUUCAUACGAUGGCUAACAGGUACAAACUUGCCACUAGCUACUUCGACUAAUAAAGCAUUAUUUAGUCUAUCAACAGGCAAAGCUAGCUUUCUACCAAACUCAUGCGAAAUAAAGGAGUAGUUGGCUCCAGAAUCAAACAAUAUAUGAGCAGGUAAUUCGUUUACGAGAAAGGUACCUGAAGCGACAUCAGCUUCAUCUUUCGCAGCCUCAAGUGUCAUCUGGAAGGCUCUCGCCUUCGGCUUUGGUGGAAUGUUGGGCCUAGCUGCCUCCUUCUUCUUCGGACAGUCUUUCAAAAUAUGCCCCUCUUCAUUACAACCAAAACACAUCCUUUUGUUGUUCGGACAUUCAUUGGCAAAAUGUCCAACCUUUCCACACUUGUAGCAGGUCACAUCCUCGCUACAUUUCCCAAAGUGCUUUUUCUUACACUUAUCACACCACUUUGCUUCGCCUCCUUUUCCUCCAAACUUUUUCGAAUCAGAUUUCGAAAAUUUGCUCUUCUUACUGGAACCAGAUGUUCCUUCAAACUUCCUUUUCUCACCAACCUCAACCUUGACGGUGGUUCUCCCCUUGAUCAUGUUCUCCACAGACUUGGCAGCCCAGAUAGCUGCCUCUAGAGUAAGUGCCUGACGUACCGGCACCUCGUACUCCCAUGGAAGUCCCUUCGCAUACCGAUCCACCUUUGUCAGCUCGUCUGGAACGAUACGCAAGGCAAACUCCAUCUUAUCGGUGAAGUUAUUGGUGUAUUCAUCAACUGACAUGCUACCCUUCGUCAAUGUCAAAAACUUAUUCUCCAACUCCAACAGAUUUUGAGCCGAGCAGAACUUGCGCUUGAACUGCACCAAGAACUCUGCCCAUGACAAUUGCAGUGGCUCAUUAGGGCUUAAGGUCUUCCCUAGAGUGUUCCACCAACGAACGGCUCCACCUCGGAAUUGUCGCACGGCAUAGAUAGUCUGCAACUUACCUCUGCAGCCACAUGUCAUAAAGGCUAACUCCAUUUCGGAGAUCCAAUCCAUAACCCCAAUCGGAUCCUCCUUUCCAUUGAAGGUCGAUGGUUUGCAAGUCAAAAAGUCCUUGUACUUGCAUCCCAUUCCAUCAUUCCUUCCUUCAUGGUUAUCUUGCCUAACUAUCGGUGGGUUGGCUGGACCAACAGACCCACUGAAGUUUCCACCUUCCGAGUGCCCUUCAUUUAAUUCAGGCUCUUCCACACGAAUCGACAGUUCUUCACGAUUUUGUUGAAGCAACCGUCUAGUUUCAUCCAUCUGACGAUCCAACAUCGUCUGAAUCAUCAAUUGCACACCAGCCAUGGUUAUUGGCUCAGGUGCUGCUGCUACGACAGGUAUUGGCUCAAUCACUGGUGGUUGAUUCCUGUUUUCGUCAGCAUUUCCAACUCCACUUCUUGUUCUCACCAUUUUGAUCUACACCCCGAAUAAGGUGAAAUUAGAUCCUCAAUCAUGAUAGAUAUUCAAAUCAUCCUUAUCACUCCGAAACGUUUACAUGCUAGUUCUAAUAUCGUAGACGUACGCUUAGAAUCCUACACACAUAAGGUUUCUAGAUCCGGUCGGCAACAGACCAUAGAUCCGAACAAAUAAUAUCAUAUAUGGCAACAUAUAACAUUUAGCACAUAAAGCAUUUUAGGCAACUUUCCUAAAAUAAACUAGUGCUCGUGUCUAAAACACAACAGACACACAUCUCAAAACUUCACUUAGCAUUCUAAGUUUAAGUCUAGAAAUCCUACAAAUUCCUAGUUCGCUUAAACUAAUGCUCUGAUACCAACUGUGACAUCCCCAAAAUCUCGGCCAGAAAAGACCGAUUUUCAUUUAUGCUUUUAAAUAUUUUCAGAGUAAAUCCUUUUGAUUUGAAAGAGUUGCGGAAUUUGUUCCCAAAAACAAAACAUGAUAAAACAUUGUUUACCGAAGCAUUUCAUAAAAGAAAUGUAUUUUCAUUAUAAUCAAAACUCGGGGUGUCAUGUUCCGAUACAGACCAAUAAGCAUAAACGAAUACAUUACAAGUCAUAUAACAAAUAUAAACAUAUGCAGACUUGUAAACAAAACAACUUGAUGGUUCAUCCAUCUCAUGCCCUUCCGCCACUACCUGUAAUACAAUUUAAAACUGAGUGGGUCAGGCUUGGGAGCCUGGUGAGCAUAUAGGGUUUUCAACCCACAAUAAAUAUCAUAUUUAAUUUUCACCAACCAACAAUAACCCAAUUACCCAUUCCCGUUAUUCUCACUUUAAUGUCCCUAAAACAACUAACAUAAGGGACCUAGUCUA